UACAGAGGUCCCAAGCGUUGUUCGGAUUCACUGGGCGUAAAGGGUGCGUAGGUGGCCAGGUAAGUUUGGUGUGAAAGCUCGGAGCUUAACUCCGAAAAGUCAUUGAAUACUAUCUGGCUGGAGGGUCGGAGGGGAGACUGGAAUUCUCGGUGUAGCAGUGAAAUGCGUAGAUAUCAGGAGGAACACCGAUGGCGAAGGCAGGUCUCUGGGCCACUACUGACGCUGAGAAGCGAAAGCAUGGGGAGCGAACAGG
Molecule: ribosomal RNA, 253 nt
Filed under: uncultured bacterium
Lineage: Bacteria
Description: partial 16S ribosomal RNA
Rfam family: Bacterial small subunit ribosomal RNA
Source: RNAcentral